AACGAACGCUGGCGGCAUGCCUAACACAUGCAAGUCGAACGAGACCUUCGGGUCUAGUGGCGCACGGGUGCGUAACGCGUGGGAAUCUGCCCUUCGGUUGGGAAUAACUGAGAGAAAUUUCAGCUAAUACCUUAUAAUGUCUUCGGACCAAAGAUUUAUCGCCGAGGAAUGAGCCCGCGUAGGAUUAGGUAGUUGGUGGGGUAAUUGCCUACCAAGCCGACGAUCCUUAGCUGGUCUGAGAGGCUGAUCAGCCACACUGGGACUGAGACACGGCCCAGACUCCUACGGGAGGCAGCAGUGGGGAAUAUUGGACAAUGGGCGAAAGCCUGACCCAGCAAUGCCGCGUGAGUGAUGAAGGCCUUAGGGUUGUAAAGCUCUUUUACCCGGGAUGAUAAUGACAGUACCGGGAGAAUAAGCUCCGGCUAACUCCGUGCCAGCAGCCGCAGUAA
RNAcentral lists this ribosomal RNA (449 nucleotides) under uncultured bacterium. RNAcentral's name for it is "partial 16S ribosomal RNA". It matches the Rfam family "Bacterial small subunit ribosomal RNA", at positions 29 to 523 of the family's 1533-position model. The record is from RNAcentral.